ACGGGUGAGUAACACGUGAGUAAUCUGCCCCUGGCUUUGGGAUAGCCACCGGAAACGGUGAUUAAUACCGGAUACGACAACUUCUCGCAUGGGAUGGUUGUGGAAAGUUUUUCGGCCAGGGAUGUGCUCGCGGCCUAUCAGCUUGAUGGUGAGGUAAUGGCUCACCAUGGCUUCGACGGGUAGCCGGCCUGAGAGGGUGACCGGCCACACUGGGACUGAGACACGGCCCAGACUCCUACGGGAGGCAGCAGUGGGGAAUAUUGGACAAUGGGCGGAAGCCUGAUCCAGCAACGCCGCGUGAGGGAUGACGGCCUUCGGGUUGUAAACCUCUUUCAGCAGGGACGAAGCGCAAGUGACGGUACCUGCAGAAGAAGCACCGGCCAACUACGUGCCAGCAGCCGCGGUAAUACGUAGGGUGCGAGCGUUGUCCGGAAUUAUUGGGCGUAAAGGGCUCGUAGGCGGUUUGUCGCGUCGGGAGUGAAAACCAGGUGCUUAACACCUGGCUUGCUUUCGAUACGGGCAGACUAGAGGUAUUCAGGGGAGAACGGAAUUCCUGGUGUAGCGGUGAAAUGCGCAGA
RNAcentral lists this ribosomal RNA (578 nucleotides) under Nocardioides sp. HRRP108. RNAcentral's name for it is "bacterial SSU rRNA". It matches the Rfam family "Bacterial small subunit ribosomal RNA", at positions 102 to 694 of the family's 1533-position model. The record is from RNAcentral. Lineage: Bacteria; Bacillati; Actinomycetota; Actinomycetes; Propionibacteriales; Nocardioidaceae.